GCACACACCUAUAGUCCCAGCUACUUGGGAUGCUGAGGCAGGAGGAUCAGUUGAGCCCAGAAGUUCUGAGCUAUACUGUGCUAUGUUAAUUGGGUGCCUACACUAAGUUCAGCACCAACAUGGUGAUGUCCAGGAGCAUGGGAACACCAGGUUGUCUAAGGAGGAGGGUGGACUGGCCCAGGUAAGAAACAAAGUGGGUCAAAACUCCUAUGCUGAUUAGUAGUGGGAUUGCACCUGUGAAUAGCCACUGUACUCCAGCCUGGGCAACAUAGUGUGAGACCCUGUUUCU
This 289-nucleotide signal recognition particle RNA is filed under the name Aotus nancymaae (Ma's night monkey). RNAcentral describes it as "Metazoan signal recognition particle RNA (ENSANAG00000001405.1)". It matches the Rfam family "Metazoan signal recognition particle RNA". From Rfam's summary of the family: The signal recognition particle (SRP) is a universally conserved ribonucleoprotein. It is involved in the co-translational targeting of proteins to membranes. The eukaryotic SRP consists of a 300-nucleotide 7S RNA and six proteins: SRPs 72, 68, 54, 19, 14, and 9. The record is from RNAcentral. Lineage: Eukaryota; Metazoa; Chordata; Mammalia; Primates; Aotidae.